This 423-nucleotide ribosomal RNA is filed under the name uncultured bacterium. RNAcentral's name for it is "bacterial SSU rRNA". It matches the Rfam family "Bacterial small subunit ribosomal RNA", at positions 358 to 772 of the family's 1533-position model. The record is from RNAcentral.
GGAAUUGUUCACAAUGGGCGCAAGCCUGAUGACGCAACGCCGCGUGGGGGAUGAAGGUCUUCGGAUCGUAAACCCCUGUCGAAUGGGACGAAUAGCUUCCGGAUCAAUACCCCGGAGGAAUGACGGUACCGUUAAAGGAAGCCACGGCUAACUCUGUGCCCGCAGCCGCGGUAAUACAGAGGGGGCAAGCGUUGUUCGGAAUUACUGGGCGUAAAGGGCGCGUAGGUGGCCCGCUAAGUCGAACGUGAAAUCCCCGGGCUCAACCCGGGAACUGCGUCCGAUACUGGUGGGCUCGAAUCCGGGAGAGGGAUGCGGAAUUCCAGGUGUAGCGGUGAAAUGCGUAGAUAUCUGGAGGAACACCGGUGGCGAAGGCGGCAUCCUGGACCGGUAUUGACGCUGAGGCGCGAAAGCCAGGGGAGCAAA